GGGUUAGAGGGUUGGUAACAUGUAGUGGUUAGGAUACAGGGUUAGAGGGUUGGUAACAUGUAGUGGUUAGGUAACAGUAAGAUAGAGGGUUAGAGGGUUGGUACCAUGUAGUGGUUAGGUAACAGUAGGAUACAGGGUUAGAGGGUUGGUAACAUGUAGUGGUUAGGAUACAGGGUUAGAGGGUUGGUAACAUGUAGUGGUUAGGUAACAGUAAGAUAGAGGGUUAGAGGGUUGGUACCAUGUAGUGGUUAGGUAACAGUAGGAUACAGGGUUAGAGGGUUGGUAACAUGUAGUGGUUAGGAUAC
Long non-coding RNA from Oncorhynchus tshawytscha (Chinook salmon), 305 nucleotides. RefSeq lists it as uncharacterized. NCBI's taxonomy places the organism in Eukaryota, Metazoa, Chordata, Actinopteri, Salmoniformes, Salmonidae. The record is from RefSeq and is a predicted model, not a curated record. The transcript is spliced from 3 exons.